Molecule: long non-coding RNA, 211 nt
Filed under: Nicotiana benthamiana
Lineage: Eukaryota; Viridiplantae; Streptophyta; Magnoliopsida; Solanales; Solanaceae
Description: long non-coding RNA (NBEN_LNC000341)
Source: RNAcentral
GCUGUUGCUGUUUUGCUGUGUUGAUUACUGCCUUCCUGAUUUCUCACCUUCUCCCUUUUGUUUCUAAUAUCAGGUACGCAACUGGUACACCUUGUAAGUUGAUAACAUGAAGCAUGAAUAAGAAAUGAAAAGUUGAAGUUUUAAAUUCGUUGUAGUUGUUUACUUGCUCGUAUAUACAGUAGAAUACUUCUUUCAUUAGAGUCAUGUAGUU